GACGAACGCUGGCGGCGUGCCUAAUACAUGCAAGUCGAACGAGAGCAACCGGUGCUUGCACUGGUCAAUCUAGUGGCGAACGGGUGAGUAACACGUGGGUAACCUGCCCAUCAGAGGGGGAUAACAUCCGGAAACGGAUGCUAAAACCGCAUAGGUCUUCGAACCGCAUGGUUUGAAGAGGAAAAGAGGCGCAAGCUUCUGCUGAUGGAUGGACCCGCGGUGCAUUAGCUAGUUGGUGAGGUAACGGCUCACCAAGGCCGUGAUGCAUAGCCGACCUGAGAGGGUGAUCGGCCACAUUGGGACUGAGACACGGCCCAAACUCCUACGGGAGGCAGCAGUAGGGAAUCUUCCGCAAUGGACGCAAGUCUGACGGAGCAACGCCGCGUGAGUGAAGACGGUUUUCGGAUCGUAAAACUCUGUUGUUAGAGAAGAACAAGUGCUAGAGUAACUGUUAGCGCCUUGACGGUAUCUAACCAGAAAGCCACGGCUAACUACGUG
Molecule: ribosomal RNA, 498 nt
Filed under: uncultured bacterium
Lineage: Bacteria
Description: partial 16S ribosomal RNA
Rfam family: Bacterial small subunit ribosomal RNA
Source: RNAcentral